This 74-nucleotide transfer RNA is filed under the name Trichonephila inaurata madagascariensis. RNAcentral's name for it is "tRNA-Val". The stretch from base 5 to 67 matches the Rfam family "tRNA", at positions 5 to 66 of the family's 71-position model. Rfam says of the family: Transfer RNA (tRNA) molecules are approximately 80 nucleotides in length. Their secondary structure includes four short double-helical elements and three loops (D, anti-codon, and T loops). Further hydrogen bonds mediate the characteristic L-shaped molecular structure. tRNAs have two regions of fundamental functional importance: the anti-codon, which is responsible for specific mRNA codon recognition, and the 3' end, to which the tRNAs corresponding amino acid is attached (by aminoacyl-tRNA synthetases). tRNAs cope with the degeneracy of the genetic code in two manners: having more than one tRNA (with a specific anti-codon) for a particular amino acid; and 'wobble' base-pairing, i.e. permitting non-standard base-pairing at the 3rd anti-codon position. The record is from RNAcentral. Lineage: Eukaryota; Metazoa; Arthropoda; Arachnida; Araneae; Nephilidae.
GGUUCCGUAGUGUAGUGGUUAUCACGUUCGCUUCACAAGCGAAAGGUUUCCGGUUCGAUCCCGACGGUGAACCA